RNAcentral lists this ribosomal RNA (487 nucleotides) under uncultured bacterium. RNAcentral describes it as "bacterial SSU rRNA". It matches the Rfam family "Bacterial small subunit ribosomal RNA", at positions 55 to 533 of the family's 1533-position model. The record is from RNAcentral.
AUGCAAGUCGAGCGGUAACAUUUCUAGCUUGCUAGAAGAUGACGAGCGGCGGACGGGUGAGUAACGCGUAGGAAUCUGCCUAGUAGUGGGGGACAACAUGUGGAAACGCAUGCUAAUACCGCAUACGCCCUACGGGGGAAAGGAGGGGAUCUUCGGACCUUUCGCUAUUAGAUGAGCCUGCGUGAGAUUAGCUAGUUGGUGGGGUAAAGGCCUACCAAGGCGACGAUCUCUAGCUGGUCUGAGAGGAUGAUCAGCCACACUGGGACUGAGACACGGCCCAGACUCCUACGGGAGGCAGCAGUGGGGAAUAUUGGACAAUGGGCGCAAGCCUGAUCCAGCCAUGCCGCGUGUGUGAAGAAGGCCUUAGGGUUGUAAAGCACUUUCAGGAGUGAGGAAGGGCGUAUAGUUAAUACCUGUAUGUGUUGACGUUAACUCCAGAAGAAGCACCGGCUAACUCUGUGCCAGCAGCCGCGGUAAUACAGAGGGU